GGACUACCGGGGUUUCUAAUCCUGUUCGCUCCCCACGCUUUCGCGCCUCAGCGUCAGUAUUUGGCCAGGUGGCUGCCUUCGCCAUCGACGUUCCUUCCGAUCUCUACGCAUUUCACCGCUACACCGGAAAUUCCGCCACCCUCUCCUAUACUCCAGUCAACCAGUCUGCGAUGCACUUCCCAGGUUAAGCCCGGGGCUUUCACAUCACACUUAGUCCACCGCCUACGCGCCCUUUACGCCCAGUAAUUCCGAUUAACGCUCGCACCCUCUGUAUUACCGCGGCUGCUGGCAC
Molecule: ribosomal RNA, 292 nt
Filed under: uncultured bacterium
Lineage: Bacteria
Also listed under: 1 other name
Description: partial 16S ribosomal RNA
Source: RNAcentral